This is a microRNA precursor of Capra hircus (goat), 77 nucleotides long. Ensembl annotates it as microRNA mir-34c. Its record names the gene MIR34C. NCBI's taxonomy places the organism in Eukaryota, Metazoa, Chordata, Mammalia, Artiodactyla, Bovidae. The record is from Ensembl.
AGUCUAGUUACUAGGCAGUGUAGUUAGCUGAUUGCUAAUAAUACCAAUCACUAACCACACGGCCAGGUAAAAAGAUU